RNAcentral lists this long non-coding RNA (2136 nucleotides) under Marmota monax (woodchuck). Lineage: Eukaryota; Metazoa; Chordata; Mammalia; Rodentia; Sciuridae. The record is from RNAcentral.
GUUCAGAGCUCCGCUGUGCGCCAGCCAUCAGGACGGCAGUGACAGCCCAUCCCCGCCCUCACAUGGCUCCAAGACUGAGAGGGGACCGAAAGGAGAGCUGCGUCCACAGGGAGACUAGGGCUGGGAUAGCGGCAGCCUGGGCACCAUGUGUUCCCUGAGGAACCCCAACACAGCCCAGGGAGGGUCCCAAAGGAAUCAGCCGCAUGGUCAAGACCCAGAGAUGGGGUGUCACCCCAGAGCCCAACAACUAGGCCGCACCUGCUGGUCACCUCCCACGGCGCCGCCCACAGUCUCGUCCUCAUCCUCCUCUCACGGUGGCACCCACCCACCCUCAGACCAGACCAGGAGGCUACACCUCACAUCCGCAUCCUUAGGUGGGGCUCUCUCCCCACCCAGCAGCCGCCACCUGGGGGACCCUGGGGGCUGCCCUCGACCUGCUGUCAAGUCACCAGGGACCCUUCCCUCCAUGGAUCCUGCCUCUCACGGGGAAGGUGAGCUCACCCCGAGUCUACCUGAGGGAUCCUCCCCUCCUCCCGGGUCUCCUUUCCGGGGGCCCCUGCAGGCUCUCUGCCUAAAUGCCUCCCCAUUCAGGACGCCACGUGGGGCUCACUGCCCCCCCAGACUGUGAGGAGCUUCCCUUUCCCCACAGACACCCUGAAACCCGGGGUGCAGAAAAGGUCUGUGUGCGCAAUCGGGGUUCCUUUUCCUGGAGUCGUGAGAGAAGAAGCCAGGUAGGCCGAGAAGAGCAGAGAUCCCAGUGUCAGAGUCGCAUGAACUACGAUGACAAUGGCGCCUGUUGUGUUACGUGAGCACUUGACAACAGAUCGUCUGUUUUCCAUUUUCCAGAUGAGGCAAGAGGAGACCAGAGAGGCAAAGAACAGUGCCAGGCGCCCAGGCAGGACUGUCCCAUGACCCACGCGGGACUGGCGCACACGGGAGAAAAUGCUGGUUACAAAGUACCUCGAGUGGGGCCUCCCGGGCAACCGGAAGCCGAGCCUCCUUGGGCACCAAGGGCAGCAGUGUUUGGGCCCAGGGGCGGGGGCUCUGGGUGGGCCGGGGCUCCCAGACUCCGGGUUCAAGGACAGAAGAAGGUGACCGAGAAGGGGCUCUGCGACCCCUGGCCCAGCGGCCCUCAGCCCCCUUCCUGUGCCAGAGGCUGCAUUUGAAACUGAAGAAGCAGCCGCAGGAUGCGCGGGCCUUAGAGAUCGGGCUGCAGAUAAUCUCCUUUGAUCAUUCGGAGGAAACCCUGAACGGGUGGAAACAGGGCUGGGAAAGUCGUGGGGCCUUCGCCCCUGUGGGGUCCGGGAAAUGUUCAUGCAAAGAGCCUCGGGAGCCGCCCAGGGCUGGCCCUUCACCCCCGGCUCUUGCCCACGCUGCCCCAGCCUGAAUUCGCUCCAGCUGCCUGGCUCCUCGUCCUCCACCAGGUCCCUGCUUGAACGUGGCUUCCUCCAGGAAGCCUUCCGGUCCUCAAACUGGAGCAUCUGAUUUGCCUGAAGUUGAGCAGGACAGAUUUAGCACCAUCGGGAGGGGACACGGAGCCACUGCUGGAGAACAUCUGGCAGGUGGCUGGGAGUGGAGGAGGGGGAUCACAAUGAGCCAAGUGCAGAAGGGUGUCAGCCCCCUCCACCCAGGGGCCCUCCUGGGUUACCUCCCACAUACUGUGGAGCUCAACUGCCUUCAGCCAGGGGUCAGACAGAUGGCACCUUUUAUCUCUUUCUUGUUCUUUUCUGGAUCUGCCACUUAUCACUGAGGGUCCUUGAGUAAGUUCCUAGACCUCUCUGUGCCUUUGUUUCCUCAUUUAGAAAACGGAGAUGAUAUGGUACAUAUGUGGUGGGGCUGUUAUGAAAAUUAAAACAAGCCUAGAACUAAAUUGUGCUCCAUUAUUGCCACCACCAUCACCACCAUCAAUGGAUUUUCCCAGUUUCUUCAGCCCCUGGGUGACGGCUGUCCAAGUGCAGCCGCCAGCUUCUCUUGCGCCCUCCAGAGGCAUCUCUGAGUACUGCACGCUCCCAAGCGCAGCUCUGGAGGCUCAAAAAGUUGGAGAUGACCAUCCCCACCGUACUCCCAAAUAUAAAUGAACCCAAACAGUUUAAUUCGGAGGAACACUGAUGAGUCACAUCAAGUGCAAAGGCCUGG